Molecule: ribosomal RNA, 253 nt
Filed under: uncultured bacterium
Lineage: Bacteria
Description: partial 16S ribosomal RNA
Rfam family: Bacterial small subunit ribosomal RNA
Source: RNAcentral
GACGGAAGGUGCAAGCGUUGCUCGGAAUCACUGGGCGUAAAGGGUGCGCAGGCGGAUAUGUAAGUCAGUGGUGAAAUCUCCGGGCUUAACCCGGAAACUGCCGUUGAUACUAUAUAUCUUGAAUGCUGUGGAGGUAAGCAGAAUAUGUCAUGUAGCGGUGAAAUGCUUAGAUAUGACAUAGAAUACCUAUUGCGAAGGCAGCUUACUACGCAGAUAUUGACGCUCAUGCACGAAAGCGUGGGGAUCAAACAGG